GGAGAGGUCGCAUAGUGGUCUAGUGCGCCGCACUCGAAAUGCGGUGAGGUCGCAAGGCCUCCGUGGGUUCGAAUCCCACCCUCUCCGCCA
This 90-nucleotide transfer RNA is filed under the name Pseudomonadota bacterium. Its description in RNAcentral is "tRNA-Ser". It matches the Rfam family "tRNA". Rfam says of the family: Transfer RNA (tRNA) molecules are approximately 80 nucleotides in length. Their secondary structure includes four short double-helical elements and three loops (D, anti-codon, and T loops). Further hydrogen bonds mediate the characteristic L-shaped molecular structure. tRNAs have two regions of fundamental functional importance: the anti-codon, which is responsible for specific mRNA codon recognition, and the 3' end, to which the tRNAs corresponding amino acid is attached (by aminoacyl-tRNA synthetases). tRNAs cope with the degeneracy of the genetic code in two manners: having more than one tRNA (with a specific anti-codon) for a particular amino acid; and 'wobble' base-pairing, i.e. permitting non-standard base-pairing at the 3rd anti-codon position. RNAcentral also lists the same sequence under 5 other names. Lineage: Bacteria; Pseudomonadati; Pseudomonadota. The record is from RNAcentral.